AUAACAGCUGGAAACGGCUGCUAAUACCGCAUAAGCGCACGAGGAGACAUCUCCUAGUGUGAAAAACUCCGGUGGUACAGGAUGGGCCCGCGUCUGAUUAGCUGGUUGGCAGGGUAACGGCCUACCAAGGCAACGAUCAGUAGCCGGUCUGAGAGGAUGAACGGCCACAUUGGAACUGAGACACGGUCCAAACUCCUACGGGAGGCAGCAGUGGGGAAUAUUGCACAAUGGGGGAAACCCUGAUGCAGCAACGCCGCGUGAGUGAAGAAGUAUUUCGGUAUGUAAAGCUCUAUCAGCAGGGAAGAUAAUGACGGUACCUGACUAAGAAGCUCCGGCUAAAUACGUGCCAGCAGCCGCGGUAAUACGUAUGGAGCAAGCGUUAUCCGGAUUUACUGGGUGUAAAGGGUGCGUAGGUGGCAGUGCGAGUCAGAUGUGAAAGGCCGGGGCUCAACCCCGGAGCUGCAUUUGAAACUGCUCGGCUAGAGUACAGGAGAGGCAGGCGGAAUUCCUAGUGUAGCGGUGAAAUGCGUAGAUAUUAGGAGGAACACCAGUGGCGAAGGCGGCCUGCUGGACUGUUACUGACACUGAGGCACGAAAGCGUGGGGAGCAAACAGGAUUAGAUACCCUGGUAGUCCACGCCGU
Molecule: ribosomal RNA, 642 nt
Filed under: uncultured bacterium
Lineage: Bacteria
Description: bacterial SSU rRNA
Rfam family: Bacterial small subunit ribosomal RNA
Source: RNAcentral